UACGAAGGGUGCAAACGUUGCUCGGAAUCAUUGGGCGUAAAGCGCACGUAGGCGGCUUCGCAAGUCGGAUGUGAAAUACCUAGGCUCAACCAAGGACGUGCAUCCGAAACUGCGAGGCUUGAGUACAGAAGAGGAUCGCGGAAUUCCCGGUGUAGAGGUGAAAUUCGUAGAUAUCGGGAGGAACACCAGUGGCGAAGGCGGCGAUCUGGGCUGAUACUGACGCUGAGGUGCGAAAGCGUGGGGAGCAAACAGGAUUAGAAACCCCAGUAGUCC
RNAcentral lists this ribosomal RNA (273 nucleotides) under uncultured bacterium. RNAcentral describes it as "partial 16S ribosomal RNA". It matches the Rfam family "Bacterial small subunit ribosomal RNA", at positions 524 to 796 of the family's 1533-position model. The record is from RNAcentral.